Molecule: unclassified non-coding RNA, 202 nt
Filed under: uncultured Capronia
Lineage: Eukaryota; Fungi; Ascomycota; Eurotiomycetes; Chaetothyriales; Herpotrichiellaceae
Description: sequence contains ITS1
Source: RNAcentral
CCGAGUUAGGGUUCGUCCAACGAGCCCGACCUCCCAACCCUUUGUCUAUAUUACCUUUGUCGUUGCUUCGGCGGACCGGCCGUGACCAACUGGUCGUGGCCGCCGGGGGUUCACCCCCUGGAGAGCGUCCGCCGACGGCCCAACUACAAACUCUUGUACCAAACCAUGUCGUCUGAAUUACUUGAUUAAAAUCAAAAAAACA